GGCUGUGAAGGUGCUAGAAAAGUGUCUCACUCUGGGGGAAGGAAAUUAGAGCCCAAACGACCAUUGGAAGGGAAAAGCCCAUUUUUCCAUCACUUUCAAUAGCAGCUCAGUUCCCAGUGACCCCAGAGAGUGAGGGCAGGCUCCAGGCUGUCCAUCUGCAGCUCCUAGCAAAGCUCCCCUGCUUGCUGCAGCCGGCACCCAGCACAUCCUGGCCUCGGCACACACUGAAACCCCCGGCAAAACAACCCACGACAUCAACCCACAAGCCGAUGAACCCGUAUCACCCUGGGUCCCCUCCUGCCGCUCAGGGAGGACCAGGCACUGGGCUAAAUGCUGGUGCAGGAAAGAAAUUUGCCUGCCUUUAAGGCUGAGCCCUGGGGGGUGGCCGGCAACCCCACGGCGAUGGCCUCUGCAAGCCGUAACACAGCCUGUGGACCUGGGGCAAUCAGGCGUCCUGCUCCCGGCAGUGGGGUUCGCACACCCUCUGCAGCUUUCUCUUCUAUAUAAAUACAUUAAUAAAAGAUCAGUUUGCAGACGCAGCUUGCUGUAGAUGACAGCAUUAGAGGUGCAUCUGUUUCUACUAAGCACCAGUCUCGUGCUGGGUUUAUUUGGUCCAUUUGCGGCGGGGAAGAGUUGCUUUCGGCAUUCAGAGAUGUCUCGUGUCUGGGAGAAGUGGGGGGGAGAUAUAUUUUUGGCUCUAUUUAGCCACAAAAAUUUGGUUCUAGAAUAAAGAAAAAUAUUCCUGUUUUCUGUUUGCUGCCAAACUGAGGCAGACGAUUUCUUGUGCAAGCCUUCAUUUGUUUGAGAACUCGGUGUCCUGUUGGAAAAAUAAAUGUUCUGAUGGGAAAAGUCUAUCAGCAUGUAUUGAUCAGUCAUUGGGACCGAUGGACUUGCAAACAUCAGCUUCAACCUAACUGAAAAAGCAGUUCCCAAAGCUUUUGCCAAUACAUGUGAGGCAGAAGGAGACAGGUCUUUGCUUUUUUGAACAGGCUGUUUGCUCCUUUCUGAAAGCCGACCACCACUGGCAGCCACGAUCAGGACACAGCAAUGGGGGAAGGAGAGCAGCUGAUCAGCGUCAGUGGGGAAGAAGCCUGGGAUGUGGCUCCUGCCUGGGAUGCUCCUGGCUGAUGGCAGCACCUUCUCCCCAUCCUGGGGCUGUAGGGUCACAUCCCCGCCACCAAGGUCACUCCAGCAACAGAAGCAGCAACAGCCAGGCUGGGACUAGCUGUAUGAGGAACCACCACAUACAUCUUCCCUCGUGUAUCUGCACAGAGGUACAGCCACACACAAGUCAGCAGCAGCAAGGCCAGCUUCUUAAGCCACCCAACAGGUAUUUGAGCUUCUCUGGAAACAGCGUCUUCAGAUCACAGCUCAGAACCAUUGUCAGACUGAACAGCUGAAGCACAAACAUAAUUCUAGAAACUGUAGAGCAAAUACAGCAGAUCAGAGCACAUUUCUAUAGCAAUACAGGUUGCAUGCAGCAGCCAAAGUAACUCACAGCAGAGACAUCUCACAGCAGAAAGCUACCCAGCUAUGGAUGCUGAGGUGAUAUAUACCCCACAGCUUGGCAUGGGGCCAAGCAGGAUUGGGCCAGAAGGAGACCAGAGCAAACACAAGACUGGGCAGGAGCACAAGCCCUUUCCCUGGGUGGGCAGGAGCAGAGCAGGUGGGACUGGGCAGAAACUAGGCCUGACUGGGGGCUGGCGACCAGCUGAGACCUCAGGCAGGUUGGUGGGGAGUACAGUCCUCCUCUGCUCCCCAGGGACCUUGUUCUCAUAGGUCCUCAUCACAGAUGUACCCUCGUUUUCCCAGCCCAAAGUCUCCCCCAUGCUGAGAAGGAUGCCCCCCUUCCCCUGAGAUCCCACACAGAUGAUGGUCCUGCUCCAGAGCAGAUGCUCCAGGGCUUGGGAUCUGGGACCCAGAGCAGCCACUGAUCUCCAGCAACCUGCAAUACCCAGGGCUUCAGAUCAAGUCUCUCUCAGCCUGGAGCCAAACCAGGAUACAGCUCCAGCUCUUCAACAGCAAAAAGCUGAAUUAAAGUCAUGUUGCCAGCUGUGUAUUUAAACAGGAAUUACCUAGGGUUUCUGUUGUGGUAAUGCACCAGGUGCCGGUAGUGCUACCAAGGCAGAUGAGGAGGAGGGGUGGUGGGUCGGGAACUGGAAGCUCCCAUCUCCUCAGAGAGGUGCUCAGGGGAAAAGAGGGGCUCCUGAUUCCUGCCCUGCUCACAUGCAGGCAAGGUACCCCAGCAGUCAGCCAGCCCACAGCACCUUGCUCCUUUGAGCUCCCUGGUUCUUGCUGAGCUCUGACCACUGUGAACCUCAGGUGUGGGAAAGAAAAACAUCAUUGGGAGCACUCACAGCCACUGACUCCUACCAUACGUGCCCUGGCCACGAACCGGGAUCCUACAGCACAAGGUGCUGGCCAAACGCAAACAUCAAAGGUGGCACCCGUGCCAAACUGCAGCCUCUUGGAGGAAGAUGUUAGGGAAGCGAUUAUGAAUUUGGAGCCUCCCGAAGCGUGUUGGCAGCUGGAUCCUCUGGAUGAAUAAAACCCUGCCAAAAAUUAA
Molecule: long non-coding RNA, 2566 nt
Organism: Harpia harpyja (harpy eagle)
Lineage: Eukaryota; Metazoa; Chordata; Aves; Accipitriformes; Accipitridae
Exons: 5
Source: RefSeq, a predicted model, not a curated record